CUGUCAAUAGUAUCAGUAGGACGCUUAUCCUUGAAAGACCCAAGGGAUCUAGUGAUAUGACCCACUAGUCCGCCUUCUUCCCAACCUUCACGAAGGGCAGCUUGCUGAACAGAUUCAUCAGCCUCCCAUCCACCCUUAGGAACUACCCAAGAAGGAUGUUUUUUAGCAGAAGAAACUAAUAGGACUUUCCUUUUGUCUGCAGAUAAAGCAACAACACCCGCAGCAAGUCUGGCUCCUGUAAUAGGAUUGAAUCGAUUUUUCGUUCGACCUUCACGAGAAGUCAUUGAGCGGUUCACUGCCGUCCGUAGAUGAUCCGGCUCCAUUAAAAUCACACUUCCGUUAUUUUCAAGCAUAUGAACUAUAAAGUACUCUUCUUUUCGACAAGUUGAAUGGAUUUGGUAUAAUUUCUUGCCUUAUGGUAGAGUAAGGAAACGAUGUCUGAAAAGGCAAAAGCAAGAUGUUCAAAAGAAUCUGAGUUCUUUUUGAACAAGGAAGAGAUAUAAAUCUCCUAUUCCGAUGAAUAUAAAUCGAUCGCGAAAAGUGGUUUUCCGAAGGUUUCUCCCAGUGAUUUAGGUUGGGAUAACGAAAUAGUGAAGUACAAACCGACACGCUAAACAGUUGUCGGAGACCAAAUAAUUUGCGGUGAUAUUUAAAAUGAGAGAUUGUAUUAGAAAAUAGGUAAUUUAUAAUUUUUCAAAAUAAAUAGCUUGCGAG
Molecule: non-coding RNA, 714 nt
Organism: Schizosaccharomyces pombe (fission yeast)
Lineage: Eukaryota; Fungi; Ascomycota; Schizosaccharomycetes; Schizosaccharomycetales; Schizosaccharomycetaceae
Source: the annotation of a GenBank genome assembly